CCCUACGGGAGGCAGCAGUGGGGAAUAUUGCACAAUGGGGGAAACCCUGAUGCAGCGACGCCGCGUGAGUGAAGAAGUAUCUCGGUACGUAAAGCUCUAUCAGCAGGGAAGAAAAUGACGGUACCUGAUUAAGAAGCCCCGGCUAACUACGUGCCAGCAGCCGCGGUAAUACGUAGGGGGCAAGCGUUAUCCGGAAUUACUGGGUGUAAAGGGAGCGUAGACGGUGAUGCAAGUCUGGAGUGAAAGGCGGGGGCCCAACCCCCG
RNAcentral lists this ribosomal RNA (264 nucleotides) under uncultured bacterium. Its description in RNAcentral is "partial 16S ribosomal RNA". It matches the Rfam family "Bacterial small subunit ribosomal RNA", at positions 337 to 618 of the family's 1533-position model. The record is from RNAcentral.